RNAcentral lists this ribosomal RNA (1385 nucleotides) under uncultured prokaryote. RNAcentral's name for it is "partial 16S ribosomal RNA". It matches the Rfam family "Bacterial small subunit ribosomal RNA", at positions 29 to 1394 of the family's 1533-position model. The record is from RNAcentral.
GGGAUCGUUGGCGGUGUGGAUUAGGCAUGCAAGUCGUGCGCGAAAGCCUUCGGGCGAGUAAAGCGGCGAACGGGUGAGUAACACGUAACCAACCUAUCCCUGAGACCGGAAUAACCACUGGAAACGGUGGGUAAUGCCGGAUGGUCCCUCAGAAGGGUAUCCUAUGGUCGGUAAACGGUGGCUUCGGCUGCUGCUGGAGGAGCGGGUUGCGGCCUAUCAGCUUGUUGGUGGGGUAACGGCCUACCAAGGCAAUGACGGGUAGCCGGUCUGAGAGGACGAUCGGCCACACUGGGACUGAGACACUGCCCAGACUCCUACGGGAGGCUGCAGUCGAGAAUCUUCCGCAAUGGGCGAAAGCCUGACGGAGCGACGCCGCGUGGAGGAUGAAGGCCUUCGGGUUGUAAACUGCUGUCACGCUAUAGGAAACCUCAGGGGUUAAUAGCCUCUGGACUGACCAAAGCGAGAGGAAGCGCCGGCUAAUUCCGUGCCAGCAGCCGCGGUAAUACGGAAGGCGCGAACGUUGUUCGGAAUCACUGGGCAUAAAGAGCUCGUAGGCGGUUCGUCAAGUCAGUGGUGAAAUCCCUCGGCUCAACCGAGGAAUUGCCAUUGAAACUGGCCGGCUCGAGGGCAGGAGGGGAGAGCGGAAUUCCUGGUGGAGCGGUGAAAUGCGUAGAUAUCAGGAGGAACGCCGGCGGCGAAAGCGGCUCUCUGGCCUGUUCCUGACGCUGAGGAGCGAAAGCUAGGGUAGCAAACAGGAUUAGAUACCCUGGUAGUCCUAGCCGUAAACGAUGGGCACUACGUAGAGGGAAUGCCUAUGGUUUUCCCUGCCGGAGCAAAUGUAUUAAGUGCCCCGCCUGGGGAGUACGCUCGCAAGGGUAAAACUCAAAGGAAUUGACGGGGGCUCACACAAGCGGUGGAGCAUGUGGUUUAAUUCGAAGCAACGCGAAGAACCUUACCUGGUCUUGACAUUCAUGGAUUAGCUCUGUGAAAGCAGAGUGACAGCUCUUCGGAGUCGGAACGUAUACAGGUGUUGCAUGGCUGUCGUCAGCUCGUGUCGUGAGAUGUUGGGUUAAGUCCCGUAACGAGCGAAACCCUUAUUGCUAGUUGCCAGCGGGUUAUGCCGGGGACUCUAGCGAGACUGCCGUUGUCAAAACGGAGGAAGGUGGGGACGACGUCAAGUCAUCAUGGCCCUUAUGGCCAGGGCGACACACGUGCUACAAUGGUCUACACAAAGGGUACCGAGACCGCGAGGUGGAGGCAAUCCCACAAAGUAGGCCCCAGUUCGGAUUGCAGGCUGCAAUUCGCCUGCAUGAAGCCGGAAUCGCUAGUAAUCGCGUAUCAGCCAUGACGCGGUGAAUAUGUUCCUGAGCCUUGUACACACCGCC